CCUUCAACACUGCAGCAGCGCUGGGGCAGGAGGACGAAACCCUCCUGCCCAAACCCCCUGCACACCCCCCAGCCCCUCAGCCCCGCUUUUUGGUCCCCCCACGCUCCCCGUGGAGCUUCGUGGGGGCUCCCCACACCCCGGCAGCCUCCCCAAUUUCGGGGCAGCCCCAACGCCGUGGGCGUGGUGGCGGGGCCGCGACCCCCUCAACACCGGGGGGCUCGGGGAGGGGAAGGGAAAGGAAAGGAAGAAGGGAAGGGAGCGGGCACGGCGGGGCCGCCGCCACCACCACCACAAAGCCGCCCCCCGCCGGGCAGCGGGGCCCCGGGGCCGUCCCCGCCUCCUCCUCCUCCACCUCCUCCUCCUCCUCGGACACAAAAUGGAGCCGGGAGGGUGGAGGGGGGGGCGCCUCCCGCGGAUAGAGAGAGGGCAGCGGGGCGGGCGGCCGCGCUGAGCCCCCCUCCUCCCUUCUUCUUCUUCUUCCCCACCACCGCCUCCUCCUCCUCCUGCUGCUGCUGCUGCUCCCCGCCCGCCUCGCUUCGCUUCGCCUCCCGGCUCGGCUCCCCCCCAGCUCCUCCGUGCACAAAGCGGCCGCGGCUCCCCGGGGCUGAGCUCGCCCCCCACUUCCUGGUCCCCGCUGGCAGCGGCAGCAGCGGCGGCGGCAGCGCCGGGGCCCGGGGAGGGAGACGGACAUUUCAUUCGAGCCUGCAGUGGAACCGGUUACCAAUCAUUGGCCGGAGCCAGGCACAAACCUCCAGUGCGGCCCUGGUUGGCUCCCUCCGCAAAUCGGCUGUUUGGUUGGACGGAAAAUGGCUGCGAAGGAACCAGUCCCAGCGCGGAGCCCCGCUUCCCGCAGCCGGCCUGCCCUCCCUCCGCGCCGCCUCCCCGCCACGCGCGCCGGCUCUUCCCCUCAGCGCGCUGCCUCCCGCCGCCAAACGGCUUCCUUUCUUUUUUUUUUUUUUUUUUUUGAAGUCAGAGGUGCUGCGAGGCCGCGUCCUGCCCCUUCCCUCUGUUUCCUCUACACGCACACCAUCCCGCUGCAGACCUGAAAACCUUCCCCCCCUACCCCCUCCAUGA
Molecule: long non-coding RNA, 1074 nt
Filed under: Anas platyrhynchos (mallard)
Lineage: Eukaryota; Metazoa; Chordata; Aves; Anseriformes; Anatidae
Description: lncRNA (ENSAPLG00020018059.1)
Source: RNAcentral